This is a non-coding RNA of Sus scrofa (pig), 205 nucleotides long. The record is from RefSeq and is a predicted model, not a curated record. NCBI's taxonomy places the organism in Eukaryota, Metazoa, Chordata, Mammalia, Artiodactyla, Suidae.
GCUGACGGGAUCCUGGCUUCUGAGACGCUCCGCUACAAUUUGCCAGGCGGUCCUUCGUGCGUCGUGCCUCAGGCUUGUGACCCGCAGUAUUAAAUGGUGGAAACUGAGACGCAGGCAGAGAAAUGGAGUGACUUGUGGGAUCUCACAGAAGCUAUGUGAUUGAAAACUGCGGAUGUUUGAGAUCAUCUUUUACUGCGUUUAUUUG